Condylostylus longicornis is the source of this 1086-nucleotide long non-coding RNA. RefSeq lists it as uncharacterized. The record is from RefSeq and is a predicted model, not a curated record. The transcript is spliced from 3 exons. NCBI's taxonomy places the organism in Eukaryota, Metazoa, Arthropoda, Insecta, Diptera, Dolichopodidae.
CCAUGUAAACUUUAUUACACCAAAAGAUAAAUUGAUGUCGUAAAUUGGAUUUUGCGGUAAAAUGCAAAGCAUAACAGUAACAGCAAAAGUGUUUAUGAAAAUACAAUAAAAGCAAAUACUUGCAAAAAAAAUUUAGUUGUUCUGCUUAACAUAGGUUAAAGUGAAGUUCGAAGAUAGAUGAUAGUUUAAGAAUAUUAACUCUUUAAAAUAUUAAAUUAUUGGUAAAGCAGGUGCAGUCAGUUGUUAAUACAACAUUAUCUUUUUAAAGAAGUAACGAUCUACAGAAAUUCUUUAAGAAUUCUACGAAAUCCUUUUUUCUUUAUGUUAGAAAGGAAUAGAAAAAUUUAUUAUACCAGACCUACCAAUUUUACAGGGAAACAAGUAAUUUUGUAGUAGCAUAAGAUCUUAUAUUUCACACUGAUUUAAUAUACUUGGAAAAAACUACAACGGCAGAACGGGCCAACACCUUAACAUGAAAUGAUUUCGAAAAAAAAAAAGGGGAUUCUUUUCAUCGAUUGUUUCGAAAAAGAGACGGCUGAAUGGCUUAUGAGGCAGUAACUUUUACUAUGGGAGGAAUGUUAACCAAGCCACAACUAAAGUUUGAGCUUAGUCAAUGUUUCCAAGAUAUUUAGAAGACAAAUAAAAAGAUUAGCUGUUCGAGAUGUGUAGGCAGUAUAUGAUUGUAGAAAUCAUAGCGAAGGACUUAUCAUGUGGUAUUAACACAGAAACAAGAAAUCUAUAUAGUGCAGAGUCCGCGUCAUAGCCCUUGGGGAAGUAGGCAACACCAGUUUCAAAGUGAAAUGUUAAUAAAAGAAUUUUUAGUUAAAGAAAACCUAGAUAUACAUAAUGUAGGAAAUUUCUAUACGGUUGUGACUAUGGUUAGAGAAGAUGUGGUGAUUUCCUUGUAGAGAAAUGUGGUGCAGUAGAGCAUAAUGUAAGCAAUAAUAAAGUAAAAGCAAAAAAACCAAAUGAAAAUGAAAUUGAAUUUUACUGAAAUUUCAAUUACACAAUUGAAAUAGUUUUGUACUAAUUUCCAAGCUCAUGUCCGCUCGUUAUUCUUAUAAAUGCGUUUUUUUUUUCAAAUUU